Molecule: long non-coding RNA, 1065 nt
Filed under: Olea europaea subsp. europaea
Lineage: Eukaryota; Viridiplantae; Streptophyta; Magnoliopsida; Lamiales; Oleaceae
Source: RNAcentral
UCUAUGUUAAGAUCUGGAGUUACAUAUUAAAAUAUCAACCUUGUUAAAAAGAGUAGUAUAAAACCUUAUAAAUUGGUCUAUGUUUUCAUAUUUAUUUAAUGUGAAAUUAUAUUCCUUAACAUUCCCUUUUCUAAUACUAAAUCAAUCUCAUACCAUAUUUGACUGAAUAAAAAAUCAUAUUUCAUUCUUCUUCUUUUUUCUUUUGUGUUCAUUUCUUUGAAGGAGUUUUUCAUGCUUUGUGCAAACUCUCAAAGGUUUGUAAUAUCCUCUGAACUGGUUGUCGAAAAUUCUAAAAGCAAUUUGUGUGGAGGUAACUAUCGAUUUUAGAAAAGCAUAUUUUAUAAGUGUAGGCCUUUUUUAGGUAUUCUUCAAUAUUUGGUUCCUGUUUCCAUUCUCCAUAUUCUCCUUUUCAUAUUUUUCAGCGACUUCUAAUUAGCCAUGGAUUAAGUGAUGACCUUACUUGGGCUAGCUAGGCGCUCAUGAAGAGCAUGAAGACAAGCAUUACGCUAAAUUGAGAAGUGAUGCGCACAAAUUUGCAUUGUAGGGCGUGCAAAUUAACCUCAAUGCUUCGGAUGAAGUUAGGAGAGUUCCUUUACAACGAAUAUGCUUUGAGAGGAUUGUAUAUUGUGUGUAAGCAUGCAACCAAGAUGGAAGCUGUGCAUCUCAAAUAAGCGAGCACCUUGGCACUGAGUGUAACACAUGGAUGUGUUCAAGUGUUCACGUGCAGUAAACUUUGUUGGAAAAAAAUAUGCAACUUGUCAUGUCUAGACUUAUGAUGAAAUUUGCUGGAAGGUAGUUGAAGGAGUGAGUGCAAAAUAUAGUCCUUUUGUACGACUUAGAGAGUCAACUCGUGUCAGAAAGUCUUGUGUUUCAUCAAGUAAAAGGGUUAUUAAGUAAGUAUUGACCAGAAGGCAUGUUGGUAUUAUAAGGCAUUCUUUUGUGACAAAUACGCCUCGUAUAAUUUUAUUAUCGCGGACUGUUUGCAGAUACUUGGCAAGCUUAAGGCUUUUGUCUCAUAUACUAUACUUGGAUUAGUACACUCAUUGUGUUAGGUCCAAAUUUGUA